Molecule: long non-coding RNA, 1331 nt
Filed under: Crocodylus porosus (Australian saltwater crocodile)
Lineage: Eukaryota; Metazoa; Chordata; Crocodylia; Crocodylidae
Description: lncRNA (ENSCPRG00005005073.1)
Source: RNAcentral
AAAGAGUGCUAUAAAUCUCAGCGGCUGCGACCCAGAUGCAUUUAUUUACUUACUGAGAUCUUUACACAGGAUACUUCAUUGGUAAUUUAGCAGCGGUCUGCUGUUUUACACAUAUUUUGAGCACAUCAGUAGAAUUCUGUGAAGGCAAUGCUAUUCAGAUGCUUUCUGCAGGGGUGUGUUGUAGACACUGGAGGCAAGAGUAAGCAAGAGUGCUGUCCUGGACUACUGGAUGAUAGCACCAAACCUGACUAUGGAUCUAUGGCAUGUUUUGUUCAGAUGUGGAUUUUGGAUCCAUACUUGGGUUUGGGUUGUACAAAUGCUCUUCAAAAGUGAAAUCCUGGCCACGUACAUUUUUCCAUUGACUUCUAUUGACCUAGGAGCCAGCAUUCCCCCCAAAACUCCAGAGGAGUGUGGAGAUGUGCAACAUCUCUGUGAGUCAGUUGGCUUUUUGUUGUUGAGGUUUUUUACCACGUACUGGUUCUUUUUUCUUUUUUUGCUAUUUUUUACAAAGAACAGUAACAUGCAAAGAGACUAUAAAUUAUAAAUGAACAGUUUCAAUGAGGCUGUUGAUUGCAAUGACUGAAAUCUAAUUAGGCAGUUUGAGAUCUAAGUGAUAUUAUUAUUAAAGAGUUACAUUAACAGAGCAUUUGAUCAACCUCUUAAUUUGUUUUAUGUGAACUAUACUUAUGAGAUAGUGUGCUUCUGAGUGACACAAAAAUCAAUUCUUUUUUUUAGAGGGAAACAACAUGGUGAGUUGAAAUUGAAAUCAAUUUUUAGAGAAGACCUGUGGAAACAAACACAUUAUUUUUCCAUCCUAAUUGACUUAGUUUAAUUGACUUUAAGUAACUAUUAGUGUUGAUUGCAUUUCUUUUGAUGUGACAUUAACAGAAAGGGUCCAAUUUUGAAAACAAGAGGCAUGGGGGGGUCCACAUGCAAAAUUACAUAUAUCAUUGUACCUGUACUGGAUCACCUAUUUGUUGUGGUGGCAUGCUAAUUAACUAGUUAGGCUAUGGGUUCUUUAGGCAGUUAACUCUAUCUUUGUGUAAACUCUACAUUAAUUCUGUAUUUGUGUACACAAUCUUAUUAAAUGUCUGCUUUGCCUGUGUGCACUUUUUUUCUUUAAAUAUCUGAUCUAAUGCAACCAUAUGCAACAAUGGGAGUUGGGAUAUGCAUUUCUAAUUUGCAAAAACAGUUAGUGUAAGAAUGCGAGCACGUUGGGUCACUAUGCAGGCAGUGUUGCUGGACAGUUGUCAUGGUACUGGCAUGCCGCAAUCAGGCACCAAAUGAGCACCAUCACUUUUUGAAGAUGGAGCCUGGAAGAGCUCCUGUCA